CCGUGCCCAAGAGAUCGGGAUAACACCUGGAAACAGAUGCUAAUACCGGAUAAUAACAGAUGAUGCCUAUCAACUGUUUAAAAGAUGGUUCUGCUAUCACUCUUGGAUGGACCUGCGGUGCAUUAGCUAGUUGGUAGGGUAACGGCCUACCAAGGCGAUGAUGCAUAGCCGAGUUGAGAGACUGAUCGGCCACAUUGGGACUGAGACACGGCCCAAACUCCUACGGGAGGCAGCAGCU
RNAcentral lists this ribosomal RNA (238 nucleotides) under uncultured Lactobacillus sp. RNAcentral's name for it is "partial 16S ribosomal RNA". It matches the Rfam family "Bacterial small subunit ribosomal RNA", at positions 125 to 355 of the family's 1533-position model. The record is from RNAcentral. Lineage: Bacteria; Bacillati; Bacillota; Bacilli; Lactobacillales; Lactobacillaceae.